GAGAAAUGCUUACAAGAAACUGGACGAGGAUAAAGCAAAGACGAAGGGACUGAAAGAAAGCUUGAGUUGCAUCAUUGCCAUCUCCUGCAAAAUCAGACUUCAGCUUCUGUUCAGCUUCUGUUUGGAACUAAAAACACCUCAUGUUUCUUCCUGAGAGGCAUGAGCAAUUGCAUGAAUACUGUAUUCUCUGAUAGUUUCCAGCAUGAUUCCAUCCAAGGUUCUGUGACAAGCCUGCAUGAUAAGUGUCACUUCAUUCUGAUCUUCCUGAUGGCUCUAAGAGGGGAGAACCGGUACCUAGAGCUGCGGGAAGCGGCGGACCACGACCCUUUCCUGCUCUUCGGCGCCAACCUGAAGCGGGAGCUGGCGGGGGAGCCUGUGUACCGCCGCGCUCUGCGGUGCCUGGACAUGCUGAGCCUCCCGGGCCAGUUCACCUUCACCGCCGACCGGCCGCAGCUGCACUGCGCCGCCUUCCUCAUCGCGGAGCCGGAGGAGUUCAUCACCAUCCACUACGACCUGGUCUCCAUAGACUGUCAGCGCGGCGACUUCCUGAAGGUAUUUGAUGGUUGGAUUCUCAAGGGAGAGAAGUUUCCCAGUUCCCAGGAUCAUCCUCUCGCCACAACUGAGCGGUACAUAGAUUUCUGUGACAGUGGUCUUAGCCGAAGGAGCAUCAGAUCGUCCCAGAACGUGGCCAUGAUCUUCUUCCGGGUUCAUGAACCAGGAAAUGGAUUCACCUUCACCAUAAAGACAGACCCCAACCUCUUUCCCUGCAAUGCGAUUUCUCAGACCCCCAGUGGAAGGUUCACCCUGGUUGUCCCGCACCUGCGUCGCAACUGCAGCUUCUCCAUAAUUUAUCCUGUGGUGAUCAAAAUAUCGGAUCUCACCCUGGGACACUUACAUGGUCGGCAGUUAAAGAACCCCUCAGCAGGUUGUGGGGGAAUAGGAGACUUUGUGGAGCUGCUGGGAGGACCUGGGCUGGACCCUUCCAAGAUGAUGCCUUUGGCUGACCUCUGCUAUUCCUUUCACGGCCCUGCCCAAAUGAAAAUUGGCUGUGACAACACGGUGGUGCGCAUGGUCUCCAGCGGAAAGCACAUGAAUCGUGUGACUUUUGAGUACCGCCAGCUGGAACCAUAUGAACUGGAAAACCCAAGUGGAAACAGUAUCCAAGAAAUCUGUCUGUCUAGUGUUUGAGUAACCAACCCCAGUGAUUUACAUGCUGCUAGCUAAUCCCUUUAGCAACCUAAGAAUGAAUGCAGUGACAUCACUGUCAGCAGUUUCUGGCUUUUAACCCUCAUGAUCCUGUAUGCUGAGUACAGAAAAUGGCCUGAGAAAUGAGUGACCAAUGUAAGCAAAUUUUUGCCUGAACGGAUCUGGAAAGAAGAAACAAUAGCCUCCAUGUAUUGAGAACUUAUGCUUCUCUGUAUUUCUGAACCUCUUCGUGGAUAAAAGGGUAAAAUGGAGCAAGCUGCAUAAAAUGAGGCAACAAAGGUCUUGCACCACAAACGGCCCCGGCCGCCUGACCAUGGAUGGCGCAGGAGAGCUCUGCGGCGGGAUGAGCACGAGGCGAGGCCCCGAGGCAUCGCCAGCGUCUGCGUGGGUACUGCUGCCGGUUCAGCUUCGGAGCUUGCCUCUUCCCGGGACGAAAUGCCUGACGAAUGUGGAUUUUUAAAAAAUGGACUCAGUGGUGCCUGGUGGUUCAGUCAGUUAAGUAUCUAGCUCUUGAUCUCAGCUCAGGUCUUGAUCUCGGAGUCUUGAUCUCCGGGUCGUGAGUUUGGGCCCCACGUUGGGCUCCACGCUGGACUUGGAGCCUAUUUAAAAAAAAAAAAAAAGUGGCCUGAGAUAUUUUAAGUCCAGGUUGAAAAACGAAAGCAAAACGCCAGCUCCCCGCAGCAGGUGGAGGCUGAAAUUCCUGUCGGAGUUCCUCCUGAAGUAAUCGUAUGCUAGCUGCCUCUCCACUUGCAUUCUUGCCCUAUCCUGUCCUUCUCAUCACAUCCCUUUUCUUUCCGCUGUUGGAGCUAAGUGUAACAGAAUGUGCAGAGAAUAAACAGGCCCUCAGCCUUCCGAGCUGCAGAGUGGUACCCAGCAGUGCAGUGGACAGGAAACACUCUGGGUGGUAAUUGCUGUUCAGAAACCCUGGCUGCGUUUAAUUCUUGUGGGUCCUUCUCCUGCUACAGUGAUGCUCUUCUUUGUCACAGACAACAGUCUUGUCCCUGGAACCUGUGAUCUCUCUGCUCCCACACUCUGGACCAGCAAGCUGCGGCCUGACUUGUGAAGCCUAGCUGAACUUGGAAGGAAACAGCUGGAGACACUGAUGAUGUCACAGAUUUUAUUCAUUCAUUUGAAAGAGAGAGAGAAUGGGAGAGCAAGAGAGCAUGAGCUGGAG
Molecule: RNA transcript, 2380 nt
Organism: Ailuropoda melanoleuca (giant panda)
Lineage: Eukaryota; Metazoa; Chordata; Mammalia; Carnivora; Ursidae
Gene: CRHBP
Gene name: corticotropin releasing hormone binding protein
Exons: 12
Source: RefSeq, a predicted model, not a curated record